Molecule: long non-coding RNA, 280 nt
Organism: Syzygium oleosum
Lineage: Eukaryota; Viridiplantae; Streptophyta; Magnoliopsida; Myrtales; Myrtaceae
Exons: 2
Source: RefSeq, a predicted model, not a curated record
GUUGGUCAAGAUUCAUUUGUAGAGCUCUCAAAUUCUUCAAAUCAAUGUUUCAAUAUCCUUUGCAGUGGAGAUAAAGAUGGGGUUUUGUGCUUCAGUAUAUUUGGUGUCUUUCCAAUCGGAAAUAUUUUUUUCUUGAUCAAUGGAUUUGAUGGCAGACUGGCAGUUAAUCAGUAAACAACUAUUGCCUGGAAAGUAAUGGGCUGGUUAAGUAAACAACUAUACUAGGUGAAGUUAUGCUUGUAAAAGUUCUAGAUGUUUAUGCCAUUUCCAAAGCUUGAUU